UUAACGUGGUGUUAUUGUGCAUGUUAUAUUUUGGAUGUAGAGGAGAUUAGUUGUCCGUUAGU
RNAcentral lists this transfer RNA (62 nucleotides) under Moniezia expansa (sheep tapeworm). Its description in RNAcentral is "tRNA-Gln". Lineage: Eukaryota; Metazoa; Platyhelminthes; Cestoda; Cyclophyllidea; Anoplocephalidae. The record is from RNAcentral.